Molecule: ribosomal RNA, 434 nt
Filed under: uncultured bacterium
Lineage: Bacteria
Description: partial 16S ribosomal RNA
Rfam family: Bacterial small subunit ribosomal RNA
Source: RNAcentral
AACGAACGCUGGCGGCAUGCCUAACACAUGCAAGUCGAACGAGAUCUUCGGGUCUAGUGGCGCACGGGUGCGUAGCGCGGCGGAAUCUGCCCUCAGGCUCGGAAUAACCAUUGGAAACGAUGGCUAAUACCGGAUGAUUACCUCAAGUCCAAAGGUUUACCGCCUGAGGAUGAGCGCGCGUAGUAUUAGCUAGUUGGUUUGGUAAAGGCGCCUCAAGGCGAGGUUCCUUAGAUGGUCUGAGAGGAUGAUCCGCGACACUGGGACUGAGACACGGCCCAGAAUCUUACAGGAGGGGGGAGAGGGGGAUAUUGGCAAACCGGCGAGAGCAUGAAGGAGCAAGGCCGGGUGAGUGAUGAAGGCCUGAGAGUUGUAAAGCUCGUUUACCCGGGAUGGUAAUGACGGUACCGGGAGAAUAAGCUCCGGCUAACUCCGUG